This 800-nucleotide ribosomal RNA is filed under the name Halomonas sp. RNAcentral's name for it is "bacterial SSU rRNA". It matches the Rfam family "Bacterial small subunit ribosomal RNA", at positions 52 to 851 of the family's 1533-position model. The record is from RNAcentral. Lineage: Bacteria; Pseudomonadati; Pseudomonadota; Gammaproteobacteria; Oceanospirillales; Halomonadaceae.
CACAUGCAGUCGAGCGGUAACAGAUCCAGCUUGCUGGAUGCUGACGAGCGGCGGACGGGUGAGUAAUGCAUAGGAAUCUGCCCGAUAGUGGGGGAUAACCUGGGGAAACCCAGGCUAAUACCGCAUACGUCCUACGGGAGAAAGGGGGCUCCGGCUCCCGCUAUGGGAUGAGCCUAUGUCGGAUUAGCUAGUUGGUGAGGUAACGGCUCACCAAGGCCACGAUCCGUAGCUGGUCUGAGAGGAUGAUCAGCCACAUCGGGACUGAGACACGGCCCGAACUCCUACGGGAGGCAGCAGUGGGGAAUAUUGGACAAUGGGGGAAACCCUGAUCCAGCCAUGCCGCGUGUGUGAAGAAGGCCCUCGGGUUGUAAAGCACUUUCAGCGAGGAAGAACGCCUAGCGGUUAAUACCCGCUAGGAAAGACAUCACUCGCAGAAGAAGCACCGGCUAACUCCGUGCCAGCAGCCGCGGUAAUACGGAGGGUGCAAGCGUUAAUCGGAAUUACUGGGCGUAAAGCGCGCGUAGGUGGCUUGAUAAGCCGGUUGUGAAAGCCCCGGGCUCAACCUGGGAACGGCAUCCGGAACUGUCAAGCUAGAGUGCAGGAGAGGAAGGUAGAAUUCCCGGUGUAGCGGUGAAAUGCGUAGAGAUCGGGAGGAAUACCAGUGGCGAAGGCGGCCUUCUGGACUGACACUGACACUGAGGUGCGAAAGCGUGGGUAGCAAACAGGAUUAGAUACCCUGGUAGUCCACGCCGUAACGAUGUCGACCAGCCGUUGGGUGCCUAGCGCACUUUGUGGCGAAG